AUGGCGCCGACGGACGCAGCGUGGUGCUCAAACGGCGAUGCUGUUGGGAAUUCCGCCGACGUGUGGCACCGCAGGGUCGGCCCUCGGCGCGAGGAGCGUGUAGGGCACCUCCACGGGCCCGUUCCGGUUCCGCAGCGCGCCGUCGGCGUUCCGCUUCUUGACGGCCUCCGCGACGGCGUCCAGCUUCGCGUUGAACUCGAGCAGCGCCUUGGCUGCCCGCUGCUCGCUCGUCCACCGUGCCGUGUCCGGCCGCUCUCCCAUGAGCGGCUCCCCCGGCUUCACCGGCGGGCUCAUGGUGAGCGCCAUGAGGCCGAACGCCUCGUUCUUCGGGGUGAUGUGGCCGAGGAACUCCGCCUCGGUCACGGCCGCCCCGGCGCCGGCCGGCAUCUCCCCGGAGGUGACGGUGGGGCGGUUGGGGACGAAGCCGUUGUACGCGUACUGCCCGAAGCUGACGGCGGAAUGGUAGGCGGAGCCGAGCCAGAUGAUGGUGGCGCAGGUCUCCACGAGGUCGCCGACGCUGUCCAUCGCCGGCCACCACGGCGCGUCGCUCAGGUCGCCGUGGCCCACGUUGCGCACCUCGCUCCACCACGCCUGCAGCUCGCUGUCGCCCGCGACGGCGCCGUCGCCCUCGGCGUAGUAUAUCGCGCAGUAGUCCGUGACCCAUUCCUUGAUGGCUGUCCAGAUCUCCAGCCCGUCGACUGCGUACGGGUAGUCCUUUAUCAGCAGCUCCAGCUCCUCAGCCUUCUUCGGAUCGCCUCUCGCCACACCUCUGCGUACAUACAAAUGCAUCAAGUAUUUCAGAUUCUAAAGCUGUGCAUGCAUUGUAGGAUUAUCAAUUUUAUCAGCAUUUUAGUCGGUACGUCUUGA
RNAcentral lists this ribosomal RNA (867 nucleotides) under Triticum aestivum (bread wheat). Its description in RNAcentral is "partial small subunit ribosomal RNA". Lineage: Eukaryota; Viridiplantae; Streptophyta; Magnoliopsida; Poales; Poaceae. The record is from RNAcentral.